GUGAGGAAUAUUGGUCAAUGGGCGGGAGCCUGAACCAGCCAAGUCGCGUGAAGGAAGAAGGAUCUAUGGUUCGUAAACUUCUUUUGCAGGGGAAUAAAGUGCAGGACGUGUCCUGUUUUGUAUGUACCCUGAGAAUAAGGAUCGGCUAACUCCGUGCCAGCAGCCGCGGUAAUACGGAGGAUCCGAGCGUUAUCCGGAUUUAUUGGGUUUAAAGGGUGCGUAGGUGGUUUGAUAAGUCAGCGGUGAAAGUUUGCAGCUUAACUGUAAAAAUGCCGUUGAAACUGUCGGACUUGAGUGUAAAUGAGGUAGGCGGAAUGCGUGGUGUAGCGGUGAAAUGCAUAGAUAUCACGCAGAACUCCGAUUGCGAAGGCAGCUUACUAAGCUACAACUGACACUGAAGCACGAAAGCGUGGGGAUCAAACAGGAUUAGAUACCUUACC
This 440-nucleotide ribosomal RNA is filed under the name uncultured bacterium. RNAcentral's name for it is "partial 16S ribosomal RNA". It matches the Rfam family "Bacterial small subunit ribosomal RNA", at positions 354 to 791 of the family's 1533-position model. The record is from RNAcentral.